AAGCAGGAGGUGUCAGAAAAGUUACCAAAGGGAUAACUGACUUGUGGCAGUCAAGCGAUCAUAGCGACGUCGCUUUUUGAUCCUUCGA
This 88-nucleotide microRNA precursor is filed under the name Pteropus vampyrus (large flying fox). RNAcentral's name for it is "miRNA (ENSPVAG00000030357.1)". It matches the Rfam family "Eukaryotic large subunit ribosomal RNA", at positions 2794 to 2881 of the family's 3401-position model. Lineage: Eukaryota; Metazoa; Chordata; Mammalia; Chiroptera; Pteropodidae. The record is from RNAcentral.